CUAUCGCAAUCGUUUUCCUUUUCGCAUCAAUCGCUUGUGGGAAGCAUUUAGUAUUUGUUUACCCCAUAACAGUUAGGGUAACUUGACCUUUGGUUCUUAAAUGAAACAAACAUAAAUAAACACAGUUGUAAAUGACUCGAAACCGCUGUGAUGACAAAAGAAUUGUUUUUGAUAGGUGUAUUAAACUUGAUUCAGAAUGGAUCCAAAAUAUUAGCCACGAAUUGUUUUCAGUUUUAGCAAUUGAUUACAUUUCUCUCCGCAUUGUGCGAGCUUUUCCUGGUACCAUGUGCAUGUGUAACUGAAACACGAGAACAACAGAGCAUGAGAGUCAGAGCAAGUUUAGUUCCCCUGUGCCGCAUACCAGCAUGCAUGUAGUUAUAUAUUUGUGUGAAUGUUUGUUUUAUUAGUGCUUUGCUUUAAUCAUUACUUUUCACUUUUAUUUAUGAUAUGAACCAUCUAAAACAAUAGUCUAUCGUUGAACGAUACAUAAAUGGAGAUGUAUUUGUGUUGCAAGGAAAUAAAGGCAAGAGAUAAACUUCAUGAAACAAACCAUUGGAAGAGUGAUGGAGCAUAAACAACUGUUCCCAUAACGGCAUACCGGCCUAUGGUUGGAUAAUCAAUGUCCUCUUUUAAGGAUUCUUUCUCAACCUAAAUUGUUUUAGUUAUGACGAAGAAUUGAUUUGUAGAUAAGUGAAAGUGUUUUCUUCUGGUCUUUUGGUGUGUUCUGUGUGUGUAAAACGUGUUAGGAGUGUGUUGGGACAGGAUUCCUUGCGUUCCUGAUGCCCAUCUCUAUACGUAUACUUACCAACACUUUUUUGGUCAGGAAUUGUUGAGACAUUUCAGCGCCCACAUAGAGACUUCCAUAUACCGCACUGUUGGUCAAAAAGGGAUGCCUUUUAAAUAGGCUGCCCACAGCGUUAAACAUUCUAGACAUUUAUUUUUCGAUUAAUAUUCAGCGAUUCACGUGCAAAAACAAAUAUUGAACGGCGAUGAACGAAUGCCAAGGGUAACACAAUACAAACUGCUCGUUGGAAAGGCACUUCUCUACUGCUGUUGAAAAUCAAUUAGUGUUAAUGAUGAUGGGUCGUCCAUGGCACAUACAUAUGUGCGGUACUAUCACAAUUAUUUGAACGCAAUCAAGACAAUUUAUUAAAAUUUGCCAUGCCGAACAACGAACAUUACCAGUUAUGUGAGCUGAAACGAAGAGACUCGUCGUAGUUUGAUGGAGGAAAGGGGACUACACCAGUUUUGUUUAUUUCAACCUAUAUUGCAAUCUGGCAAUGCUAUGCAGAUAACGGCCAUAGAUAUUUUAUAUGUAGAUGUAAGAAUAAACGAAAUGGCAACCCUUCAGCUGCCAGAUGAAAGCAAUUGCUAGUUGCUCGUGAGUUGUUCAGCCUUCUGCUGUAAACUUUCGAAAAAGUUAAUCGAAUAAAUUGUCGUACAAUUUUAUGUUUAAUAAAGAUAAAUUUAAAUAGUUGUUAAGUUAAA
Molecule: long non-coding RNA, 1488 nt
Organism: Stomoxys calcitrans (stable fly)
Lineage: Eukaryota; Metazoa; Arthropoda; Insecta; Diptera; Muscidae
Exons: 2
Source: RefSeq, a predicted model, not a curated record